Molecule: long non-coding RNA, 429 nt
Organism: Callorhinchus milii (elephant shark)
Lineage: Eukaryota; Metazoa; Chordata; Chondrichthyes; Chimaeriformes; Callorhinchidae
Exons: 3
Source: RefSeq, a predicted model, not a curated record
GGUGGUGGGGGGGUGGGCAGUGGUAAGUGCUAAUUUUUGGGAAUCACCGUACCUUAUCAAUGGGUUGAAAUGGCCUAAUCUUGUUCCUGUUUAUUGUAGUCGGAUAAAACUGAUGGCCACUGAGCUGGGAGCUGCUGCGCUUGGACUAUUAUUAUACAAAUCAAGGGGUUGGGAGCUCCCGGAAUCACACAAUGGCUACCGGAAAAAUAGUAAUAAAGGCUGUGGGCUGAGCCACACGAAACAGAAGAUUUUGCUCCUGACCUGACCUGGCAGUAGUCUGGACAUCUGAACGCACGAGGUACAACCUUGAAACCCAGGCAGUCCCAGAGCAUGGAAUUCACCGGUUGUGUUGGUAGAUUACAAGGCACACUUUAUCCCAGUUCUAUAUAAUUUAAAUUUGAAACAAAUGCACACCCUUUGAUAAAUUAG